This 3957-nucleotide long non-coding RNA is filed under the name Daucus carota (carrot). RNAcentral's name for it is "long non-coding RNA (DCAR_LNC000594)". The record is from RNAcentral. Lineage: Eukaryota; Viridiplantae; Streptophyta; Magnoliopsida; Apiales; Apiaceae.
AAGGCCAAUUCCCUGAGCUUGGCGUGGUAAGAGAGGACUGUUUUGAAGUGAGCUGGCUCCAGGCCAUGGUGUACUUCUCAGGUUUCGACUUGUUCACGCCUCCUGAAAUAUUGCUGAACCUCACUGUGUUGCCUCGGCCGGCUUUCAAAUCAAAUAAUGACUACACUGAAGUGCCUAUUCCGGUACAAGGGCUAGAAGGUCUGUGGGAUCUGAUGUACAAACUUCCUCCAACGAAAGCGACUUUACAGUUUACACCUUAUGGCGGAAGAAUGGAUGAAAUUUCAGAAUCUGCACUCCCGUUCCCUUAUAGAGCUGGAACCUUGCUUAAGUUCAACAGGUACGCAGAAACGGAUACAGAUGAAGCUGAACGCAUGGAAUGGAUCAAGACUUUAGCAAGAUUUUUGACUCCUUAUGUUACCAAGAAUCCGAGAAGUGCAUAUGUUAAUUAUGUGGACUUGACGAUGGGGAGUAAUAAUCUCAAAGGUGCCACAAGCUACCAGCAGGCGAGUAGAUGGGGGAAACGAUACUUCAAGAAUAAUUUUGACAGAUUGGUUAAAAUUAAAUCGGCUGUGGAUCCUGAUAACUUCUUCAGACAUGAGCAAAGUAUUCCUCCCAUCUCGGUUUGAAAAUAUAAGAACUAGUUAGAAUCAACCACAACAUGUAUGUAUGAUUUUGUUUUUCUGUAACUUGCAUUAAUUAAAAAGCAAUUAUUUUGAUGUUAUAUGUCUCUAAUAUGACUGCAGCGCGCGAAAUUGAAAUCUUUUUAUGAAAUUAAAAAGAUUGUGAAAUUAUGUGAGGGCAAUCAGAAGAUUGAGACCGACAAAGGGUGACGUUGUUGUCCUCCAAAUAUAUUUUAAUUAUGUAUAGUCAAUACUCCUUCCGUCAAUUUAUGGGUCCCUUUUGAAAAAAACUCGCAUAUUAAGAAAAUAGUUGGUUAAAUAUAAUUUUAUCUCAUGUAUCAAUAAUUAGUACUAUAUUGAUAAAGGAGAAUAGAGUUGAGUUCCAAAAAAAUCACAAAAAAUAUAGAGAUUUAGUGCAUUGAGAAAUGAGAAUAAUGUUGAGUUUCAAAAAACUCAUAAUUAAUAUAGAGAAAAUUUGUAUUGAAAAAAGAGUGGGACAAGUAUUUUGAGACAAAUUUUUUUUCUUCAAAAAGGACAUAUAAAUUGAGACGGAGAGAGUAGACUCCAAUUUCUGCUACUCAAUUGACCUUAAUGAUGAAAAUAGGAUAAAAAAUCUAUUUUAACCUGAUGCACGGUCUAGAGCAGCAUAUAAAGAGUUUGGAGAUGUUAAAAGCCUGCCCAAAACAAGAGAAGAAUAUACUGUAAUACUAUCGCAUUUCAAAUGUGUGUUAAUUCUCCAAGGACUUUGUCUCAGUGUUUUUGAUUUUGUUAAAAAAUAUGACAAGAAUUAAAGGAGAAUGUGCAUGAAGAUGAAGACAUGACCUGUACCACACGUAACAAAAGAGUUGCUCAAGUCACUCAGUUUUGAGUUUUGUGAUCACCCGUUCACAAUGUGUUGAAUCGCAGUUACUCAAUUAUUUUGAAGAAACGCCCAAUAAUCGGCCAGCUAGCCACAAGAGUCGAGACUUGCUCAAAGUCUAACAAUUGAUAAUGAUAUUAUUACCUUUUAUGUCAACGAUCGUUCUUGAAAAACAUAUUCUCAUGUCUCUUUCUAAUAAUUGGGCAUAUAGCGUCUUUCUUUCACUCUUAUAUAUAUAGAAGAGACCAUUUAUAUUUAAAAUAGAUGCUAGUUACCACGAAGGACAAAUAUAUAAAUAAAAUAGUUCAGAAACUUUUGAUGAUGUUUAGAAAAGAAGGGCAUAAAUAAAAUUGAUAAUUCUUUUUUUUGAAGAAAAAUUGAUAAUUCUUUUGAUUACAUUUUAUAAGAACUCUAUUGCUAAAAGAUAUUUGCCUGGUCUUUCUCGUCGUACAUACAUUUUUAACAAAACAUUUUCAGAUUUGUAUUAACAACGCUGUUUUUAACUAACAAACACGUAUUUUUGGCUUACAAAAUUUCAUUACAAUUUUUUCUAGAUAAAUUUCUGAUGACUUCUCAAAAAUCAUGAAUCAAAUUAUUUUAUUAUCAUGUGCCUGUUUGGCAAGGCGGGAGAAACAUUUCUUUUUCAAAGAAGUUGGCUUCGGCUUUUUGUGACCCCUUGGUGUAAAAACGUAUAAGCACUUUUUAGAAUUUGCAAAUGAUAGCUUUUGUCUGAGAGGUUCAAUUCUUUUCCAGACAGUUUAAUCAUUUAUAAGCCUUAACUUGUUUUUUAAAUUUUACUUCAUUUUUUUAUAUUAAUCAAGAAAAAUUUAUUUUAAUCUCAUUCAGACGGUCUCAGUAUAUAAACUAUAAUUUGUUCAAUCACCUGACUUGAUCUAUCAUCGUAGGAUAUACAAUUUUAAAUAGAUAUAUAAUUAAGUUAAAAUUUUGGACAUAAUUGAAGACAUGCUACAGUCUAACAAAUUAGCGUGUGCAGUCUGAAGAAAGAAAUGAUAGUUUGGUUUUGCAAGAAACUGUUGCUUGACCUAGCAAAUUAAAAAACAAACAAAUUGUUGCAUGACCUUUUCAAAACUCAAAGAUUUAUUAUGCAUUCAAUGUCGAAGCUGUCAACGGUCUCCCAUUUGUGUAUUAUUAGUACCACUAGGGCCGAAUGAAGCCUAUAAAUAUCAUGCAAUCUCAUCAUUCUAUCCAUAUCCAACACUAUCAACAUUCAAUACCAUCAAAUUCUUUACAAACAAUAUCCAAGAUUAUGAAGAUAGCUGAAAUCACUACUUGUUUUUCUUACAUUCUACUUUUCUUAUCAUUUUCAUCGACUUUUUCAUCAGCUCAAGAUCCUACACAGAGCUUCCUUCAGUGCCUUAAUCAUCAUUCUCGUGACAUCUCCGAGUUUUCCUACACCCUAAAGAAUACUAAUUUCUCCCAAACACUGCUCUACUCCAUUAACAAUUUGCGUUUUGCAAAGCCUGAUACGCCUAAACCUCUGGUCAUCAUCAGGGCAGUGAGUGAAUCCCACAUUCAGUCUGUGAUUUACUGCUCCAAGAAGCAUAAUCUGGACAUGAGAAUUCGGAGCGGGGGUCACAGUUUCGAGGGUCUUUCUUACGUUUCCCCACUCCCAUUCGUCAUACUUGAUCUCGUCAACUUCAAAUCAUUCAUUGCCGAUACUAAAACCAACACUGCAUGGAUUGGCUCCGGCCUCACCAACGGGGAGCUUUAUUACAAGAUUGGCGAGACGAGUGGCACUCUUGGAUUUCCAUCCGGUUUAUUCGCAAAUGUGGGCGUUGGAGGAAUUCUAAGCGGAGGGGGUUACGGCAUGAUGAUGCGAAAACACGGCCUGGCUGCUGAUCACGUCAUCGAUGCUCGCCUCAUCGAUUCAAACGGAAGAAUUCUUGACAGGAAAGCCAUGGGAGAAGAUUGGUUCUGGGCUAUUAGAGGAGGCGGUGGUGGAAGCUUCGGAGUUGUUAUAUCCUGGAAAGUAAGAUUACUUCCAGUUCCUAAGAAAGUGACCGUUUACAAAGUCUACAGAACAAUUGAACAAAAUCUCACUAGCAUUUUCCAUCGCUACCAAUCGGUUGCACCCAAGUUCCCGAAAGAGCUCAUGAUCAAGGCCGAUGGACAAAGCAUUGUCAGCAACAUCAGUCGUCGAGCGGAUAAGAGGACAAUAAUAUUCUUGUUCGAGGCCUUAUACCUAGGCAGCGCGGAUAAGAUGCUCUCCGUGAUGCAAGGCCAAUUCCCUGAGCUUGGCGUGGUAAGAGAGGACUGUUUUGAAGUGAGCUGGCUCCAGGCCAUGGUGUACUUCUCAGGUUUCGACUUGUUCACGCCUCCUGAAAUAUUGCUGAACCUCACUGUUUUGCCUCGGCCUGCUUUCAAAUCAAAUAAUGACUACACUGAAGUGCCGAUUCCGGUACAAGGGCUAGAAGGUCUGUGGGAUCUCAUGUACAAACUUCCUCCAACGAAAGCGAC